This 502-nucleotide ribosomal RNA is filed under the name uncultured bacterium. RNAcentral's name for it is "bacterial SSU rRNA". It matches the Rfam family "Bacterial small subunit ribosomal RNA", at positions 1007 to 1509 of the family's 1533-position model. The record is from RNAcentral.
GCUUUUGGUGCCUUCGGGAACUCUGAGACAGGUGCUGCAUGGCUGUCGUCAGCUCGUGUUGUGAAAUGUUGGGUUAAGUCCCGCAACGAGCGCAACCCUUAUCCUUUGUUGCCAGCGGCUCGGCCGGGAACUCAAAGGAGACUGCCGGUGAUAAACCGGAGGAAGGUGGGGAUGACGUCAAGUCAUCAUGGCCCUUACGGCCAGGGCUACACACGUGCUACAAUGGCGCAUACAAAGAGAAGCGACCUCGCGAGAGCAAGCGGACCUCACAAAGUGCGUCGUAGUCCGGAUUGGAGUCUGCAACUCGACUCCAUGAAGUCGGAAUCGCUAGUAAUCGUAGAUCAGAAUGCUACGGUGAAUACGUUCCCGGGCCUUGUACACACCGCCCGUCACACCAUGGGAGUGGGUUGCAAAAGAAGUAGGUAGCUUAACCUUCGGGAGGGCGCUUACCACUUUGUGAUUCAUGACUGGGGUGAAGUCGUAACAAGGUAAGCGUAGCGAG